RNAcentral lists this ribosomal RNA (253 nucleotides) under uncultured bacterium. RNAcentral describes it as "partial 16S ribosomal RNA". It matches the Rfam family "Bacterial small subunit ribosomal RNA", at positions 524 to 776 of the family's 1533-position model. The record is from RNAcentral.
GCCAGAGGGUGCAAACGUUGCUCGGAAUUACUGGGCGUAAAGCGCGUGUAGGCGGACUGAUAAGUCAGGUGUGAAAUCCCCGGGCUCAACCCGGGAACUGCACUUGAAACUGCCAGUCUUGAGUGAUGGAGAGGAUGGCGGAAUUCCUGGUGUAGAGGUGAAAUUCGUAGAUAUCAGGAGGAACACCGGUGGCGAAGGCGGCCAUCUGGAAAUCUACUGACGCUGAGACGCGAAAGCGUGGGGAGCAAACAGG